RNAcentral lists this ribosomal RNA (294 nucleotides) under Flavobacterium xanthum. RNAcentral describes it as "16S rRNA. Bacterial SSU". It matches the Rfam family "Bacterial small subunit ribosomal RNA", at positions 1 to 296 of the family's 1533-position model. The record is from RNAcentral. Lineage: Bacteria; Pseudomonadati; Bacteroidota; Flavobacteriia; Flavobacteriales; Flavobacteriaceae.
AUACGAUGAAGAGUUUGAUCCUGGCUCAGGAUGAACGCUAGCGGCAGGCUUAACACAUGCAAGUCGAGGGGUAUAGGUUUUCGGACCUAGAGACCGGCGCACGGGUGCGUAACGCGUAUGCAAUCUACCUUUCACAGAGGGAUAGCCCAGAGAAAUUUGGAUUAAUACCUCAUAGUAUAGCAGCUUCGCAUGAAGUCACUAUUAAAGAUUUAUCGGUGAAAGAUGAGCAUGCGUCCCAUUAGUUAGUUGGUAAGGUAACGGCUUACCAAGACAACGAUGGGUAGGGGUCCUGAG